GCGGAGCCGGGUCCGAGCUGUGGCAAAAAGAACCGAGGCAGCGCAGCCCGAGGUCGCUGUGCCAAGCAGAAGUGCUUUAAAAAGCGUUCUGUGACAUUAAUAGGGACACGUUUCAUCGCAGGUUUUAUUUCUGAUAAAUUCCUCGAAGCGAUCAAACCCCAAAAUAAAACAGCUGCACAGCGUGGUACAGCGCCAGCCCGGCACGUUCUUAAAAAUCAUUGUCGUGUUUGAAAAUAUACAGCUUGUUUGCUGAGCAGACACUGGUCUGGAGGUAGCCGAGCUGCCCGCCCAAGCACCACACACGGGUUAACUCCCCUGGAUCCCUGCCGUAGCACAAGAUGUACAACUUGGUACAUUCCUGAAUGGCAACACGGAGCGAGGGACAAAUACCUAACGCAAUAGUUCAGGUUAGGAAAGCUUUAGUUACCAGAACCUAUUUUUAGGGCAGAAGUCGAAUUUACGGUGCUCUAAUCUUUGUAUGGGGAAUUGGCACAAGGUUUCUGCUGUUGGGUCUUAUUUAUAGCUGUUUCUUCUUUCCAGGGAAAUAAGAUUAGCCUCAUUAUUUCCAUUGCUGUUACUCUGUCUAUCAUUAUUAUUAUUCAGUCCGUCCAUCCUUCCACCCAUUUAGGUCUUGUCUGGAAUUACCUAGGAUUAUCCCGCUAAUGCGCGUUGCCUUCACACCGAAUAUCAUUUUUGUUGCUAAGAAACUGCUUUUGCAUAACAGACAGCGCAGGGCCUAAUUUUCACUCCAGCAGCUGUUAAAGUCAACGGGAGCAGCAGGUGCUCGGCGCUCCUGAGCCGGAGCCAAAGUGUCCGUGGCAGAAUUCCCACACAAAGUCUGACUGUGCACGCGAGCGUGUCAUCCACGUGUGCAACAUGCCCGGGGACAGAGCAGCUUCACGGGGCACGAGGCCAUUGCUACCUGGAAGGAAGGAUUUUGAUCAGACUGCAGAAGAUGAACAGGCAGGAGAGGUAUGUUGAGUAACACUAAAUCAAUGGAGUUUCAUUUACAUUAGACACCAGCCUGGCAAUUUCAACAUUAAUGGUUGCACUGCUGCCCUCUGAAUUUUUGUAGCUUUAAUAUAUCAGUGGGGGAGUAAAAGAGAGGGAGAGCGUGUCGCUCAUGCUUAUGAUACGUGGGUCUUUUCUUUCAUGCAUCAUCAAUGGGUAGCAAUUUGUACAGCUGUUAAAUUCCUUUAGCAAUAAAUUUCCUGGGAUAAGUAUUGCACUGCUCCUACCUCACAGAUUAUCUAAGAUGAUAGUAACAAUAGUGUCUUUGGAUCUGGACCCUCUUUCUUUCAAGCUGAAAGAAUGAAAGGCUGAGGCAAAUGGCAAGGUAGCAAGAGCAUCACAUUUGGACCUCUGACUGC
RNAcentral lists this long non-coding RNA (1370 nucleotides) under Anas platyrhynchos (mallard). RNAcentral describes it as "lncRNA (ENSAPLG00020008277.1)". Lineage: Eukaryota; Metazoa; Chordata; Aves; Anseriformes; Anatidae. The record is from RNAcentral.